AUGCUUUCUUCGACAGCAGCAGCUGCAACCUUGCUAUUCCCGUGUAUUUAUAUGCUGACAUGGCAUAGAAAAGGGAGAAGACUAUGGUUUAUCCUUUGCAACAAGUCUAGCAGAAACAAUGAAAAUAAUUACGAGGCCAUGAUAGCAUCCUAUGGAUCCCUAGCUCCAAAACGAUACAUGUACUCGGAUGUAAUGAAGAUAACAUUUUCUCGUAGCAAUGAGCUUGGAAAAGGUGGUUACGGUGUGGUUUUCAAAGGAAGACUUCAUGAUGGUCGUUUAGUUGCUGUGAAAUUCUUGCAUGACUCCAAAGGAAAUAGGAGCGAGUUUGUGAAUGAGGUUAUGAGCAUUGGCAGGACAUCACAUGUUAAUGUUGUUACCUUAUUUGGGUUUUGUUUGGAGGGAUCAAAACGAGCUCUUAUAUAUGAAUACAUGUCGAACAGUUCCUUGGAUAAGUUCAUUUACUCAGAGAACCCCAAAGAAGUUUUAGGGUGGGAGAGGCUCUAUGAAAUAGCACUCGGGAUUGCUCAUGGCCUCCAAUACUUGCACUAUAGCUGUAAUACACGCAUCAUCCAUUUCGAUAUCAAGCCUCAAAAUAUCCUUCUGGACAGUGAUUUUAGCCCCAAAAUUGCUGAUUUUGGUCUGGCUAAACUGUGUCAUAUGAAAGAGAGUAAAGUUUCAAUGACUGGUGGUGCUAGAGGAACAAUUGGAUUCAUUGCCCCAGAAGUUCAUUCUCGAACCUUCGGAGUGGUUUCAACAAAGUCAGAUGUUUAUAGUUAUGGAAUGAUGUUGUUGGAGAUGGUUGGAGGCAGGAGAAAUGUAAAAUCAAUUGUUGAAAAAUCCAGUGAAAAGUAUUUCCCAGAUUGGAUUUAUGACCACUUUUCACAAGAUGAAGGCUUACAGGCAUGUGACGUGACAAGUGAAACUACGGAGAUAGCUAGAAAGAUGACAUUAAUUGGCAUGUGGUGCAUACAGGUAUUACCUAUGUAUCGCCCUACUAUAACACGAGUUCUGGAAAUGUUUGAGAGAAGCUUAGAUGAACUGGAGAUGCCACCACAGCAGAACUUCUGUGAACUCGAUGAAAGUUCAUCUCACAAUAUGGAGGUACAAAGUGCAAGUUCUACCAGUACCAGAUUUGAGAAGAUAAGCCAUGUGAACUCAAAAAACCUACAACGGUUGCCAACU
Molecule: ribosomal RNA, 1182 nt
Filed under: Triticum aestivum (bread wheat)
Lineage: Eukaryota; Viridiplantae; Streptophyta; Magnoliopsida; Poales; Poaceae
Description: partial small subunit ribosomal RNA
Source: RNAcentral